Molecule: long non-coding RNA, 401 nt
Organism: Helianthus annuus (common sunflower)
Lineage: Eukaryota; Viridiplantae; Streptophyta; Magnoliopsida; Asterales; Asteraceae
Exons: 3
Source: RefSeq, a predicted model, not a curated record
CUGGUUUCAACACCAACCGGUUUAGGCUCAGAACUCGAUUUCUGCUUGACUGCACCUGUAGUCAGAGCGCUCUGUUAACUGUGGGGCCACAUUCACUUAUUAGAUGUUGUAACCGGACAAUAUAAACUAAAAACAGUUGCUAUUAUUAUAGUUUUUGAGCAAAUGCUCUUCCUUGCGAGUUAAAUCUUGAUUAGUUAUUAAGUUAUUCCAGCUGAAGUUAUGAAGUCCUUGAACAUUCCCAAGGGAGUAAGACGUAAGAGCAUUGAACACUCAUAGAAUGAAAAUCGAGUAUACAGCCUUAAAAGAGAGCUUGGAAAGUAUGGAGCAUCUAAUUUCUUCAAUUCGUAGACUUCUUCUAUCGCUUGUUAAGGUGAAAGAAUAGGUUCCAGCUGAAGAUACGC